This 244-nucleotide ribosomal RNA is filed under the name uncultured Staphylococcus sp. Its description in RNAcentral is "partial 16S ribosomal RNA". It matches the Rfam family "Bacterial small subunit ribosomal RNA", at positions 96 to 334 of the family's 1533-position model. The record is from RNAcentral. Lineage: Bacteria; Bacillati; Bacillota; Bacilli; Caryophanales; Staphylococcaceae.
CGGCGGACGGGUGAGUAACACGUGGAUAACCUACCUAUAAGACUGGGAUAACUUCGGGAAACCGGAGCUAAUACCGGAUAGUAUAUUGAACCGCAUGGUUCAAUAGUGAAAGACGGUUUUGCUGUCACUUAUAGAUGGAUCCGCGCCGCAUUAGCUAGUUGGUAAGGUAACGGCUUACCAAGGCAACGAUGCGUAGCCGACCUGAGAGGGUGAUCGGCCACACUGGAACUGAGACACGGUCCAG